This 305-nucleotide ribosomal RNA is filed under the name uncultured bacterium. RNAcentral's name for it is "bacterial SSU rRNA". It matches the Rfam family "Bacterial small subunit ribosomal RNA", at positions 337 to 658 of the family's 1533-position model. The record is from RNAcentral.
GCCUACGGAAGGCAGCAGUGGGGAAUAUUGCACAAUGGGGGAAACCCUGAUGCAGCAACGCCGCGUGAGUGAAGAAGGUUUUCGGAUUGUAAAGCUCUGUUAGCAGGGAAGAGGAAGGACGGUACCUGCAGAGGAAGCCACGGCUAACUACGUGCCAGCAGCCGCGGUAAUACGUAGGUGGCAAGCGUUAUCCGGAUUUACUGGGUGUAAAGGGAGCGUAGACGGCAUAGCAAGUCUGAAGUGAAAGCCCGUGGCUCAACCGCGGAACUGCUUUGGAAACUGUUAAGCUGGAGUACUGGAGAGGG